GGGGGGACAGGGUGACAGGUGGUGCAUGGUUGUCGUCAGCUCGUGUCGUGAGAUGUUGGGUUAAGUCCCGCAACGAGCGCAACCCUCGACCUUAGUUGCCAGCAUUCAGUUGGGCACUCUAAGGGUGACUGCCGGCUAAAAGUCGGAGGAAGGUGGGGAUGACGUCAAAUCAUCAUGCCCCUUAUGACCUGGGCUACACACGUGCUACAAUGGGCGGUACAAAGGGUCGCGAACCCGCGAGGGGGAGCCAAUCCCAAAAAGCCGCUCUCAGUUCGGAUUGCAGGCUGCAACUCGCCUGCAUGAAGCCGGAAUCGCUAGUAAUCGCGGAUCAGCAUGCCGCGGUGAAUACGUUCCCGGGCCUU
This 362-nucleotide ribosomal RNA is filed under the name uncultured Anoxybacillus sp. RNAcentral describes it as "bacterial SSU rRNA". It matches the Rfam family "Bacterial small subunit ribosomal RNA", at positions 1020 to 1382 of the family's 1533-position model. Lineage: Bacteria; Bacillati; Bacillota; Bacilli; Caryophanales; Anoxybacillaceae. The record is from RNAcentral.